RNAcentral lists this ribosomal RNA (751 nucleotides) under Arthrobacter pascens. RNAcentral's name for it is "bacterial SSU rRNA". It matches the Rfam family "Bacterial small subunit ribosomal RNA", at positions 88 to 849 of the family's 1533-position model. Lineage: Bacteria; Bacillati; Actinomycetota; Actinomycetes; Micrococcales; Micrococcaceae. The record is from RNAcentral.
GGGAUUAGUGGCGAACGGGUGAGUAACACGUGAGUAACCUGCCCUUAACUCUGGGAUAAGCCUGGGAAACUGGGUCUAAUACCGGAUAUGACUCCUCAUCGCAUGGUGGGGGGUGGAAAGCUUUUUUGUGGUUUUGGAUGGACUCGCGGCCUAUCAGCUUGUUGGUGAGGUAAUGGCUCACCAAGGCGACGACGGGUAGCCGGCCUGAGAGGGUGACCGGCCACACUGGGACUGAGACACGGCCCAGACUCCUACGGGAGGCAGCAGUGGGGAAUAUUGCACAAUGGGCGCAAGCCUGAUGCAGCGACGCCGCGUGAGGGAUGACGGCCUUCGGGUUGUAAACCUCUUUCAGUAGGGAAGAAGCGAAAGUGACGGUACCUGCAGAAGAAGCGCCGGCUAACUACGUGCCAGCAGCCGCGGUAAUACGUAGGGCGCAAGCGUUAUCCGGAAUUAUUGGGCGUAAAGAGCUCGUAGGCGGUUUGUCGCGUCUGCCGUGAAAGUCCGGGGCUCAACUCCGGAUCUGCGGUGGGUACGGGCAGACUAGAGUGAUGUAGGGGAGACUGGAAUUCCUGGUGUAGCGGUGAAAUGCGCAGAUAUCAGGAGGAACACCGAUGGCGAAGGCAGGUCUCUGGGCAUUAACUGACGCUGAGGAGCGAAAGCAUGGGGAGCGAACAGGAUUAGAUACCCUGGUAGUCCAUGCCGUAAACGUUGGGCACUAGGUGUGGGGGACAUUCCACGUUUUCCGCGCCGU